UGACAAUAAGAAUGUGAGAAAUGGAGCU
RNAcentral lists this non-coding RNA (28 nucleotides) under Mus musculus (house mouse). Lineage: Eukaryota; Metazoa; Chordata; Mammalia; Rodentia; Muridae. The record is from RNAcentral.